UGGGCUGACCGGGCGACCGCGUCGCAGCACUCGGGAGACCGGGUGCGGCGCCGAGGAAAGUCCGGGCUCCACAGGGCACGGUGGUGGGCAACACCCACCCGGGGUGACCCGCGGGACAGUGCCACAGAGAACAGACCGCCUCCCGUCCCGACUCGUCGGGGCGGGCGGUCAGGGUGAAACGGUGGUGCAAGAGACCACCAGCGGCCCGGGUGACCGGGUCGGCUCGGCAAACCCCACCAGGAGCAAGGUCAAGAAGUCCGGAGCCUUCGGGCCCCGGAUGCGCGUGCGUCCGAGGGCGGCCCGCCCGAGCACGCGGGUAGACCGCUGGAGGGUGUCGGCAACGGCACCCGUAGAUGGAUGGUCGCCCCCCGGCGACCGUGAGGGGACCGGGGACAGAACCCGGCUUACAGGUCAGCCCGUCCG
This 423-nucleotide RNase P RNA is filed under the name Nocardioides flavescens. RNAcentral describes it as "Bacterial RNase P class A". It matches the Rfam family "Bacterial RNase P class A". From Rfam's summary of the family: Ribonuclease P (RNase P) is a ubiquitous endoribonuclease, found in archaea, bacteria and eukarya as well as chloroplasts and mitochondria. Its best characterised activity is the generation of mature 5'-ends of tRNAs by cleaving the 5'-leader elements of precursor-tRNAs. Lineage: Bacteria; Bacillati; Actinomycetota; Actinomycetes; Propionibacteriales; Nocardioidaceae. The record is from Rfam by way of RNAcentral.